RNAcentral lists this ribosomal RNA (1262 nucleotides) under metagenome. Its description in RNAcentral is "bacterial SSU rRNA". It matches the Rfam family "Bacterial small subunit ribosomal RNA", at positions 255 to 1520 of the family's 1533-position model. The record is from RNAcentral.
AGGUAACGGCCCACCAAGGCUACGAUCAGUAGCCGGUCUGAGAGGAUGAUCAGCCACACUGGAACUGAGACACGGUCCAGACUCCUACGGGAGGCAGCAGUGAGGAAUAUUGCGCAAUGGCCGAAAGGCUGACGCAGCGACGCCGCGUGAAGGAUGAAGUUCGUUAGAAUGUAAACUUCUUUUGUAGGGGAUGAAUGUUCCGCUUUGCGGAAUUGACCGUACCCUGCGAAUAAGGAUCGGCUAACUACGUGCCAGCAGCCGCGGUAAUACGUAGGAUCCGAGCGUUGUCCGGAUUUACUGGGUGUAAAGGGCGUGUAGGUGGGUCUCUAAGUCGGUGGUGAAAGCCCGCAGCUUAACUGCGGAAUUGCCAUUGAUACUGGAGGUCUUGAGUACGGCAGAGGGAAAUGGAAUUCAUGGUGUAGCGGUGAAAUGUGUAGAUAUCAUGAAGAACACCGGUAGCGAAGGCGGUUUCCUGGUCCGUAACUGACACUGAGGCGCGAAAGCGUGGGGAGCGAACAGGAUUAGAUACCCUGGUAGUCCACGCCUUAAACGAUGAAUACUAGGUGCUGGGCCGUAAGGUUCAGUGCCAAAGCUAACGCAUUAAGUAUUCCACCUGGGGAGUACGAUCGCAAGGUUGAAACUCAAAGGAAUUGACGGGGGCCCGCACAAGCAGUGGAGCAUGUGGUUCAAUUCGAUUCAACGCGAAGAACCUUACCCGGAUUUGAAAGGCCAGUGACAACCGAUGAAAGUCGGUCUUGUAGCAAUACACACUGGUACAGGUGCUGCAUGGCUGUCGUCAGCUCGUGCCGUGAGGUGUUAGGUUAAGUCCUGCAACGAGCGCAACCCCUACAUUUAGUUGCCAUCAGGUCAAGCUGGGCACUCUAAAUGGACUGCCUACGCAAGUAGUGAGGAAGGUGGGGAUGACGUCAAGUCCUCAUGGCCCUUACAUCCGGGGCCACACACGUGCUACAAUGGACAUUACAGAGGGUUGCAGAGCCGCGAGGUGAAGCUAAUCCCAAAAAAAUGUUCUCAGUUCGGAUUGGAGUCUGCAACUCGACUCCACGAAGCUGGAAUUGCUAGUAAUCGCGGAUCAGCACGCCGCGGUGAAUACGUUCCCGGGCCUUGUACACACCGCCCGUCAAGCCAUGGAAGCUGGGGGUACCCGAAACCGGUGCGCUAACCGCAAGGAAGCAGCCGACUAAGGUAAAAUCAGUGGCUGGGGCUAAGUCGGAACAAGGUAGCCGUAUCGGAAGGUGCGGCUG